GACGAACGCUGGCGGCGUGCUUAACACAUGCCAGUCGAACGGUGAAGCGCCUUCCUUUUUGGUGGGUGUGGAUGAGUGGCGAACGGGUGAGUAACACGUGAGUAACCUGCCCCCUUCUUCUGGAUAACCGCAUGAAAGUGUGGCUAAUACGGGAUAUUCUGGGUCUGCCGCAUGAUGGGUCUGGGAAAGAUAUUGUUUCGGUGGGGGAUGGGCUCGCGGCCUAUCAGCUUGUUGGUGGGGUGAUGGCCUACCAAGGCGGUGACGGGUAGCCGGCCUGAGAGGGUGGACGGUCACACUGGGACUGAGACACGGCCCAGACUCCUACGGGAGGCAGCAGUGGGGAAUAUUGCACAAUGGGCGCAAGCCUGAUGCAGCGACGCCGCGUGAGGGAUGGAGGCCUUCGGGUUGUGAACCUCUUUCGCCAGUGAAGCAGGCCUGCCUCGUUUGUGGGUGGGUUGACGGUAGCUGGAUAAGAAGCGCCGGCUAACUACGUG
RNAcentral lists this ribosomal RNA (494 nucleotides) under uncultured bacterium. RNAcentral's name for it is "partial 16S ribosomal RNA". It matches the Rfam family "Bacterial small subunit ribosomal RNA", at positions 28 to 507 of the family's 1533-position model. The record is from RNAcentral.